Long non-coding RNA from Equus asinus (donkey), 3171 nucleotides. Lineage: Eukaryota; Metazoa; Chordata; Mammalia; Perissodactyla; Equidae. The record is from Ensembl.
CGUCCGGUUCCCAGCCCGACGCGCGCGCGGGGCUGCUUUCACAGGUGGUGGAGGAACCGCGUAAAAGACAAGGAAACUGAGGAAUGGAUCGCACAGCUAGCGAGCGAGGUAAGAGCUGGCAUCUGGAAGUCCGCCGCAGAGACCACGCGCAUAAUCACUGUGCCGUGGGCACGUUUUGUCCACGGGAUGACUCCAGACCUUACAUCCUGCUGCUUCCUUGGCAUGGACACUCGGAUGUCUGAUAAAUAGGCCUCUCAGAACACAGCCUUUCCUCCGCCAACCUGCUCUUCCCCUGCUCAAUGCGUCUAGAAUCAGAUCACUUCUUAUCACCUCCAGUGAUGCCAUCAUUAUCACUGACCCACAAGAGCACAGCAGUCUCCCUGAUUCUGCCAUUGGCCCCUCCAGCCUGGUCUCAACACACCAGCCAGGACGUCAAAGAACAAACGUUUUUAAUUUUGAUGAAGUCCAAUAUAUUGAUUGAUUUCUUUUGUAGUUUGUGCUUUUUAUGCCCUAUUUUUAAGAUCUUUGCCCAACUCAAAGACGUUAAGAUUUUCUCCUGUUUUCUUCCAGAAGUUUAAUAGUUAUAGCUCUUGCAUUUAGAUCUAUGAUUCAUUUUGAGUUAAUUUUUUUUUAAAGAUUUUUUUUUUUCCCUUUUCUCCCCAAAGCCCCCAGUACAUAGUUGUAUGUUCUUCAUUGUGGGUCCUUCUAGUUGUGGCAUGUGGGAUGCCGCCUCAGCGUGGCUUGAUGAGCAGUGCCAUGUCCACGCCCAGGAUUCGAACCAACAAAACACUGGGCCGCCUGCAGCAGAGCGCGAACUUAACCACUCAGCCACAGGGCCAGCCCCUUUUUUGAGUUAAUUUUUGUGUAUGAUGUGAGGUACGAGUCAAGGUUUAUUUGUUUAUUGCAUAUGGCUAUCUAAUUGUUCCAUCUUCAUUUGUGGAAAAGAUUAUCUUUUUCCGCCUAAUUGCUUUGUCCCCUUUGUUAAAAAUCAAUUGACCACAUGUGUAGGUCUGUUUCUAUACUCAAAACUACACUGUCUUGAUUACUGCAGCUUUUUAGUGUCUUGAAAUAGGGUAAUGUAAGUCGUCCAACUUUGUUCUUUUUCAAAAUUGUUUCAGCUAUUCAGAAUCCUUUGCAUUUCCAUAUAAAUUUUAGUAUCACCUAAUUUGUAUCUUUUAAAAAGCCUACUGGGAUUUGGUUGGUAUUGCAUUGAUUCUAUAGAUGAAUCUGGGGAGAAUUCACAUCUUAACAAUAUUGAGUCUUCUCAUCUUUGAGGAUGGCAUAUCUCUUCAUUAUUUAAGUGAUUUUUAAUUUCACUCAACAACGUUUUGUAAUUUUCAGUGUACGGGUCUUGCAUCUUAAAUAUCUUUUGUCAGAUUUGUUCCUAAGUUUUUCAUAUUUUUGAUGCUAUUAUAACUGGUAUUAUUUUUGUCAAUUUCAAAUUCCAAAUGGUCAUUGCUAGUGUAUAGACAUAGAGUUAAUUUUUGCAUAUUGACUUCAUCCUGCAGCCUUGCUACUUCAUUCUUAUGGUUCACUUAUUAGUUCUAGUGGCUUUUUUGUAAGUUCCUUAGGAUUUUUCACAUCUGUGAAUAGACAGAUUUAUUUCUUCCUUCCUAAUCUAGAUGCCUUUUAUUUCUUUUUCUUGUUGUAUAGUACUGGCUAGCACUUCCAAUACAAUGUUGAAUUAAUAAGUGACAUUUCAUAAAAUUAAAAACUCUUGAUUUUCUUUUUUUUAAAGAUUUUAUUUUUCCUUUUUCUCCCCAAAGCCCCCCAGUACAUAGUUGUGUAGUUUUGGUUGUGGGUCCUUCUAGUUGUGGCAUGUGGGAUGCCGCUUCAGUAUGGUUUGAUGAGCGGCGCCAUGUCCACACCCAGGAUUCGAACUGGUGAAACCCUGGGCCGCCAGAAGUGGAGCAUGCGAACUUAACCACUGGGCCAUGGGGCCAGACCCCACUCUUGAUUUUCAAAUGACAUUGCUAAGAAAAUAAAAGCAAGAGACAAACUGGGAGAAAAUAUUUGCAAAACAUAUAUCCAACAAGGGACUUGCAUCUAGAACAUAAAAAUUCUUAAAAGUCAACAAUAAAAAGUGAAACCACUCAAUUAAAAAAAAGAGCAUAAAAUUUGAAAGACAGUUCACUGAAGAAGAUAAACAGAUGGCAAAUAAAUACAUGAAAUGAUGAUCAACAUUAUCAAUCGUUAGGGAAAUGCAAAUUAAAACUACAGUGAGAUAACAUUACAAAUUCAUUGGAAUGGCUAAAAAUUAAAAAGGUUGACAAUAUCAAGUGAUAAGAAAGUGGAGCAACUGGAACUUUCUGGGUUUUUUAUUUAUUUAUUUUUUGGUGAGGAAGAUUGUCGCUGAGCUAACAUCUAUGCCAGCCUUCCUCUAUUUGGUAUGUGGGAUGCCGCCACAGCGUGGCUUGGUGAGUGGUGUGUAGGUCUGUGCCCGAGAUCCAAACCUCUGACCCCUGGGCUGCCAAAGCAGAGCGUGUGAACUUAACCACUAUGCCACAAGGCUGGCCCCUGGAAUCUUCAUACAGUGUUCAGAAUUGUAAAAUGGUACAACCACUUUUGAAAACAGUUUGGCGGUUUCUAAAAAAGUAAAAUAUGCACCCACCGUAUGACAACAUUGCACUACGCAGUAUCUCCCGAGAGAAAUGAAAGCAUACAUCCAUGCCAAGACUUGAACAUGAAUGUUCAUAGCACAUUUAUUUGUAAUAGCCAGACUGGAAACCACGCAAUGUCCUUCAACAGGGGAUUGGAUAAACAACUUGCCGUGUAUUCAUACAGUGGAAUACUACUCAGUUAUGAAAAGGAACAAACUUGAUACAUGCAACAAAAUGGAGAAAUCUUAAUGCUGUGGAGUGAAGGAAACCAGACAAAGACUGCAUACUGUAUGAUUUCAUUUCUGGAAAAUAUAAACUAAUCUCCUGUGGUGGAAAGAUUAGUGGUUGCCUGGGAGGGGGAGGUCAGGAGAGAAGAAUCAAAAAAGGACAUGGGGAAACUUUUGGGGGUGAUAGAUGUUCAUUAUCUUGAUUGUGGUAAUGGUUUCAUGUGUGUACACAUGUCAAAACUCAUAUUGUACAUUUUUAAUAUGUGCAGUUUAUUGUGUGUCAAUUAUACCACAAUAAAGAUGUAACAAAAAAGUAAACAAGAAAAAAAUUUUUAAGAUUCAUA